This 500-nucleotide ribosomal RNA is filed under the name uncultured bacterium. RNAcentral describes it as "partial 16S ribosomal RNA". It matches the Rfam family "Bacterial small subunit ribosomal RNA", at positions 30 to 523 of the family's 1533-position model. The record is from RNAcentral.
AUUGAACGCUGGCGGCAUGCUUUACACAUGCAAGUCGAACGGUAACAGGGUGCUUGCACCGCUGACGAGUGGCGAACGGGUGAGUAAUGCGUCGGAACGUGCCGAGUAGUGGGGGAUAACGCAGCGAAAGUUGUGCUAAUACCGCAUACGUACUGAGGUAGAAAGUGGGGGACCUUCGGGCCUCACGCUAUUCGAGCGGCCGACGUCUGAUUAGCUAGUAGGUGAGGUAAAGGCUCACCUAGGCGACGAUCAGAAGCGGGUCUGAGAGGAUGAACCGCCACACUGGGAAUGAGACACGGCCCAGACUCCUACGGGAGGCAGCAGUGGGGAAUUUUGGACAAUGGGCGAAAGCCUGAUCCAGCCAUGCCGCGUGUCUGAAGAAGGCCUUCGGGUUGUAAAGGACUUUUGUCAGGGAGGAAAUCCCUAGUGCUAAUAACACUGGGGGAUGACAGUACCUGAAGAAUAAGCACCGGCUAACUACGUGCCAGCCGCCGCCGUAA